CUUGACGUCACGUGCACUGACGACCUUCUUCAAACCACGGCCUUACGUCGUCAAAGUCUAAAACGUCGGUCCAAAGAUAACGAGUUUGCCGACGGCGUCUACUCUGGACGAGUGGCAGACUGCGGAAAAGCUACUCACGACGUUGACGUUAGCGGAGGACGCGGCUGACUGCGUUUAAACGUCACCGACGUAUAACGAGUUUAACGUCAAAUACGAGCCCGCCACAAACAUAUGGGUGAUCUACUACGUCAGCGAGGCGGUUGCGGGGCGGUCGCUUAGCUACGACACGAACCCCUUUUACAACCUGCACAUUGAGUACAGCGACGCCGCGGGGGUCAAAGGGGCGGAGAAGAUUUUCACCGUCCAUAUUAACGAUAACAAAGCACCGACGAGCGACAACCUUAGCAGUAAGCCGAACAACAUAUGCUUGAUUAAGGACGCCUUGCGAGAAUUCUUCAGCGUUAUUUAGAUACUUUAAAAAUAAAUUCUAGUAUUACUUAUAUAGUAUUGUAUCAACUUUGAUCCAUCUUUGUAUUGCGCAUUAUGUCUUUUUGUUUGCCAAACGACGUUACUUUACUGUAUUACGUUGACGUCACUUCUUGUGUUUAUGCUUCGAAUCAUACUACUGAUGACAGCUA
Molecule: long non-coding RNA, 638 nt
Organism: Dreissena polymorpha
Lineage: Eukaryota; Metazoa; Mollusca; Bivalvia; Myida; Dreissenidae
Exons: 3
Source: RefSeq, a predicted model, not a curated record